Long non-coding RNA from Megalobrama amblycephala (Wuchang bream), 2112 nucleotides. RefSeq lists it as uncharacterized. The transcript has 3 exons. NCBI's taxonomy places the organism in Eukaryota, Metazoa, Chordata, Actinopteri, Cypriniformes, Xenocyprididae. The record is from RefSeq and is a predicted model, not a curated record.
AAGACACUAUAAAAGAGCAAGUGCUGACACACUGCUCACAUCAGCUCUUGAGGAAGAAUGUUGUCUCUAUGACGACUGUAAUGACGUCCCAGAUGUGGAUACAAGCAAAUUAGCUUAACUUUGUUCAAACCGUAAAGCUACAGUAUGCUUUAUUUGAGAAAUACACAUGGCAUCAUGGCACCACAUUUUAUGAUUUUCCAUUUCUGAAUUCUCCACAUCCUAAAUCACCUCUGGGACAAAGUGAGCCAUCUUCAAGCAAUAUAAAGCCUCCAGAGAUACUGAUGGUAUGGAUUCAACAUUCACACAUUAUAAAAGCUAUUCUGGAUUUCAAGUGGUAACAGAUUUACUACAAGGAAAUAAUAUGACAUCUAUAUGACCCGUCAAUACUGGAUAUCACCAAUGAAUCCGACCAUUUCACAAAGAGAACGUCAUCACUGAUGUCAACAGAAAUGUGCAAAAAUAACUUGAGGGAAAUCUGUCCCUUUCAGUAGGUUGACAACAGUGACCUCUAAUGGUAAGAUGUAGGUAGUGCACUUUCCCCCCGACCAGUUGCUGAUUCAAAAUCAAAAUUUUUAAGUUUUUUUUUCACAAAUAUGAAAACUAGAGAUUACAUUUAAGUAGGGCUAUUGUUACAAUGAUAAAUAGCAUAAAAUGAUAAAUUAAGAUAGAGAGAAAAAAAAAAAAGGAAAUUACUUGAACUCUGAUGCUUUGUACUAUCAAUGUAUGCAAGCUGCCAAUUUUCCCCAAAAAAUAAAAAAUAAAUAAAAAUCCACAAGACUGUAAAUGAUGCUCUUUAUUAUGCUUUAUUGUGAUUUUGAUUCAUGUUAUUGUAAGGAUAAAUACAUCAUUAUAUCAUGCAUUACCAAAAAUAAUAGUUUUUUUUUUUUCCAAUUAUGCUUAGAAAUAACUACACCCUUCAAUCAAACCAAAGAAAACAUGAGGUGCAAUAUUUGCCAAAAUAAUUUUAGCCAUUAAUGCACUACAACAGUCAGCUUAAAUCAGUGUUAUUGUCAUUUUGGUUCUAUAUUUUAAAAUAGUUGUUUUCUUGUUUAAAAUAGUUGCUUUCUUUUACACUGUAAAACAAUGUUUGACUGAAAGCAAUGGUAAGAACCUGUUAAUUGAUUAUCUAAUGGGCCAGUUUAUGUAAUUUUACUGUAAAAUACUGUUAUAGAUCUUAUCAUUUACAGUGAAAAACUGUAAACAAUUCCCUGAGUGACACUAAAUAAAAUAAUUGACAAUUUUUUCUUGUUAGUUUUUGUUAUUAAUUAUGUACUUUUUAUGUUAUAUCUUAUGCUGUUUAAUGUUUCUUGCAUUAUUUUCGUGUCACAUGUGUUGGUGUUUUGUAUUUGUGUGCACCUUCUAGAAUCUAGAUAUUAGUAUUUACCUCAGCUUGUGGAAAAGUGACUCUAAUUCAUCAUUUGCCUCUUUUACCAACUGUAUUAUUACAGUUGUUAUAUAGAUUUUACUUUAGAUGGAAUAUUAACAUUAUAUAAUUAAAUGUGUAGAUUUUUACCCAAAGUCCAGUCCCCUAAACUUGAAAUUCCUUACGAUAUUUUUUAUGGUUCUUUUAUCCCAUUAAGUGUUACAAGAUUUAUUUCCGUAAAUUGUCCAUGUUCAUUUUUUUUCCAGUCUCUUCACACUCGGUAGGAGUGCAUUUGCAGGUCUCUAUGUACGUGUAGUGAUGAAGGAUCUCGCUGCCAUUGGCACACUUCAGCAUCACAUCUUUACGGCUGACACGCUCCUCCCGACAGCAAGAACAACUGUGCAUCAUGAUGUCAUUUUCCAUUGAAUACCUGUGCAGAUUUCCAAGAAAACACCGGUCAGAUGACUGUAGCACAGCAGGAUGUGUGCAAGUGCUCUCACAUUGAUCCAUCAUCACAGUGGCCAGCGCAGGAAGUAACUUCUACAUCCUCGAUGGAAGUGCAGUCCAUUGACAUACAGACGGGUGACGUUCUUCGCACGAACACAGUUGCUGAGUUCACCUGAGAGAUGGUAGAGGCAGACAUUGCAUUUUAUGCUAUGUCUAGUAUGUUAUUUUUAAUGUAACAUCUAUUAAAUGUUCUGCAUAAAUACAAUAGGGUGGAUUAAACAAUUUGAACAUUUUUGUCAGAA